RNAcentral lists this ribosomal RNA (429 nucleotides) under Bacteroidota bacterium. Its description in RNAcentral is "Bacteroidetes bacterium partial 16S ribosomal RNA". It matches the Rfam family "Bacterial small subunit ribosomal RNA", at positions 355 to 776 of the family's 1533-position model. The record is from RNAcentral. Lineage: Bacteria; Pseudomonadati; Bacteroidota.
UAGGGAAUCUUCCGCAAUGGACGCAAGUCUGACGGAGCAACGCCGCGUGAGUGAAGAAGGAUUUCGGUUCGUAAAACUCUGUUGUUAGAGAAGAACAGCGCAUAGAGUAACUGUUAUGCGUGUGACGGUAUCUAACCAGAAAGCCACGGCUAACUACGUGCCAGCAGCCGCGGUAAUACGUAGGUGGCAAGCGUUGUCCGGAUUUAUUGGGCGUAAAGCGAGCGCAGGCGGUCAAUUAAGUCUGAUGUGAAAGCCCCCGGCUCAACCGGGGAGGGUCAUUGGAAACUGGUUGACUUGAGUGCAGAAGAGGAGAGAGGAAUUCCAUGUGAAGCAGUGAAGUGCGUAGAUAUAUGGAGGAACACCAGUGGCGAAGGCGACUCGCUGGUCUGUAACUGACGAUGAGGCUCGAAAGCGUGGGUAGCAAACAGG